This 432-nucleotide ribosomal RNA is filed under the name uncultured bacterium. RNAcentral's name for it is "partial 16S ribosomal RNA". It matches the Rfam family "Bacterial small subunit ribosomal RNA", at positions 29 to 507 of the family's 1533-position model. The record is from RNAcentral.
AACGAACGCUGGCGGCAGGCCUAACACAUGCAAGUCGAGCGAGGACUUCGGUCCUAGCGGCGGACGGGUGAGUAACGCGUGGGAACGUGCCCUUUGCUUCGGAAUAGCCCUGGGAAACUGGGAGUAAUACCGGAUGAGCCCUUUGGGGGAAAGAUUUAUCGGCGAAGGAUCGGCCCGCGUUGGAUUAGGUAGUUGGUGGGGUAAUGGCCUACCAAGCCGACGAUCCAUAGCUGGUUUGAGAGGAUGAUCAGCCACCCUGGGAGUGGGACACGGCCCAAAUUCCAGCGGAAGGCAGCAGGGGGGAAUCUUAAACAAAGGGGGAAACCCGAAUCUAGCCUGGCCGUGGAAGGGUUAAAGGCCUUAGGAUUUUAAAUCCCUUUAUGCUGGGAAGAUAAGACCGUAACCGACAGAAAAAGCCCCGCUAACCUCCUG